UCACAUAAUCAGCUUGGCAGCUAAUAUCCAAAAUUGUUAGUGUCGUCGGUACAUUGAUAUCUUAUUUUGGUAAAGGUUUUUCUAUCAAGAACUACAUAUGCUCGACAUGGUGUCAUGGUAUCUAUAGUUGUUGUGGAGCCUGCUGGUAUUCUUACCCUUAAUCGCCUCUUUCCCUUCUCUGUAUGAACCCUUUCUUGAUUUGUUUUUGUUCGCGAUCUGCUCUGCUUGUUUUGACUCUUUUUAGUUGAUGCAUUAUUCUAUCUAUUUUUGUGUACUCAGGUGCCUAUGCGAGAAACAUUGGAAGAAUCCAUGUAUUUAGUCGUGGCAUGUUUGGCAGCUACAGCAGCUUCUGCAGCUUUCUUCCCUCGUCAUUCCUCAUAUAUGUGGGCAAUUCAAUGCUGUUACCAGUGGGAGUCCAUAGUGCGUGUGUGUCUGGUCCAGUCUGUGGUUCCAUAGGAUAAGAAAAAAGUUUGUCAAGAAUGGAUCUCUAAAUGUGUUUCGCCUUGAGGUAAAUAAUUUGCAUGAUGUCUACUUUUCGUUAAUUUGGGUCAGGCCAAAAUAAGGUGUAGGCAAAUUUCAGAUUUUUUAUAUGUACUGCAUUUUCACAAAUUAAAACAGUGACCUUGACAUUACCAGUCUAUGGGGGGAGUCAUGGAGAAGCCAAGCUUAAAUGAGAUUUCAAAAUUUUGUGGCCUUUGUUAACAUUUAAAAACCUGGUGCUUCUACUUGUGAAAGAACAUGUAGAGAUAAGGCCCAUCAGUUCAGGUAGAGAUAAUGAAAGAACAGAAGAAGGACUGAGCAAGAGGAGGAACUUCGUCGACCCAGCCGUGAGCAAAUGAUGCUCUGGCGAGUCGAUGAUGACCGUCAUGGAGAUCUGCCUGCGGGGCCUGACCAAGGAACCAACGCUGAAGCCGUUAGACGAGGACGUGCUCUGGAACCUGCAGUUUGCAGCCCUGGUGUAGGAUGACUGGAACAGUGAGGAGUCCCCGCUCUCAUCGUCGCAGAUCCGUGCACAAUCCGCAGAGUACUAACCUCUAGGAAGGCUGAGAAAAAAUAUUGGCAAGCAUUACCAUUAUGAUCCUCCAUCGAUCAUCAUUGUUGAAGGAAUUUCUGUUUCUCUUCAUAUAGGAUACAGAUAUGUGAUUCUCAUGUGAUCCUUUUGCUGGAAACUUGCUAAUCUUAGGGGUGUUGCUACUGGUGUAGAAACCGUUUUAUCAAAAGAACUAAAGUAGUAGCUAAUCCAAGCAUUGAAGAAUUGACCCAGAGGUUACGCUAUACUGGCACGAAGUCAGAGCAGCGCCUAAAGACUACACAAGAUAGUUUCUGAUGACCUUCAGUCUAUAUGUCCUAACCAACAACAUCCACCUUUUGUUUUAUCAAUUGAUCCAGUAUCUUUGCCCUUUUGGCAUUGCUCUGAGCAAGAUAUGUAUAGCCUUUAGAUUUCCAUUCAUGUAUGA
This is a long non-coding RNA of Triticum aestivum (bread wheat), 1457 nucleotides long. RefSeq lists it as uncharacterized. The record is from RefSeq and is a predicted model, not a curated record. The transcript has 3 exons. Lineage: Eukaryota; Viridiplantae; Streptophyta; Magnoliopsida; Poales; Poaceae.